Callithrix jacchus (white-tufted-ear marmoset) is the source of this 643-nucleotide non-coding RNA. Lineage: Eukaryota; Metazoa; Chordata; Mammalia; Primates; Cebidae. The record is from RefSeq and is a predicted model, not a curated record.
AUUCUGCAUGUGUAUCCACAACUUAAAGUAUAAUAAAAGAAAAGAAAAGGAAAGAAAAGAACUCUAGGUCAACACAGGUAGUUAAUAAAAUGUGUAUAGCUAUUGUUGCUUAUAUUCUUAUCUUAUUUUUUUCUGAAUUUGUCUUGGCUAGAUAUUACUUCAUAAAGCCACUUCACAAUAUAUUGCCAACCAGGAAACAAUGCUAAAAAUUACUCAUGGUCAUUUCUAUAGAAUGAAAGAAAGUUAAGAUUUGAUGAGAUGUGCAAAUAUUGUCAGGAGAACUGACCUGAAUUUUGAUUAUGUACCAGCCUCACCCUCUGCCACCCUUGCUCCAACAGUUUAUGCUUGGCUGUGGAUAGUCCAGUUGACAUCAAGGGACUGUGGGGCUACCAAUAAAUAGAAAACAAGCUGGAAAGAGCCUGUAUCCCUGCAUCAUCACAUAGAAGAAAGUCAUCUUCCAACCAGGAACACACACAUUGAACUCUUAUGUGAACAUGAAAUGGACUUAAGAAAAUUUAUUGUUUGUGUUUAAGGUAUACAACAUGAUGUUAUGAGAUAUAUAUGGUAAAAUGAUUACUACAGUGAAACAAAGUAACAUAUUCAUCAUCUCACAUAGUUAUCCAUUUUUCCCUCCUGUGGCAAG